Molecule: long non-coding RNA, 694 nt
Filed under: Gallus gallus (chicken)
Lineage: Eukaryota; Metazoa; Chordata; Aves; Galliformes; Phasianidae
Source: RNAcentral
GGGAGGUGGGUGCAGCACGUGCUCUACAAGCACAGCUCAGAAGGCCCUCUUCAGAAACAUGAGAGCUCACAGCACCAUCAUUAGCUCUUCCAGUUAAAAAAAAAAUCCCAGAAGGAAUAAACUACUGUAUGCAGCAAGAGCAGAGGGGAAAGAUUACCCAGAGGCCAAGCACCUGAUGGGGGCUAGAACUGAACUCACACUCUGCAAUUAUUGCUGCUGGACCCCGACAGAUUCCAGCCCAGCACAGCUCCUGCACGUAGCCUCAGCUGGGGUGCAGAUUUGUCCUAAUUGGAGCUCUGGUCCCUCUCCUGGUGAGUCCCGUAGGUCAGUUUUGCUUCCCUUUAGUCAAUAAGUUGUAAACUAUGCAAGUCUGCAUCUUUUGAGGAAGGAAUGUAGGAGAGAGAGCAGCCAGCUUGGCGCUGCUGCUGCUUCGAGAGUGCUCUGGAGGAGGUGGCUGCUUAGUGCUGCAGGCUGGCUCCUCCCAGCCUGGGUGCUGCAGGGUGGGGGCCUUCUCUCCAUCUCUCAGCUGGGCCUUCAGUCUGAUUUCUUGGCAGGUUUUCUGCUCUUCCACAUCACAACCAUUAUAAAAACACCUAUAAAUAGCAGCAGCAGCAGCCCAGCCACCACAGGGAUGAUAACUGCAUACUCCCUGGGCAAGAAGUAUUGGUGGAUGCUGUGGUCGCUGUCGAUGAAG